GUGACUGCGUACCUUUUGUAUAAUGGGUCAGCGACUUAUAUUCUGUAGCAAGGUUAACCGAAUAGGGGAGCCGGAGGGAAACCGAGUCUUAAUUGGGCGUUAAGUUGCAGGGUAUAGACCCGAAACCCGGUGAUCUAGCCAUGGGCAGGUUGAAGGUUGGGUAACACUAACUGGAGGACCGAACCGACUAAUGUUGAAAAAUUAGCGGAUGACCUGUGGCUGGGGGUGAAAGGCCAAUCAAACCGGGAGAUAGCUGGUUCUCCCCGAAAGCUAUUUAGGUAGCGCCUCGUGAAUUCAUCUCCGGGGGUAGAGCACUGUUUCGGCUAGGGGGCCAUCCCGGCUUACCAACCCGAUGCAAACUGCGAAUACCGGAGAAUGUUAUCACGGGAGACACACGGCGGGUGCUAACGUCCGUCGUGAAGAGGGAAACAACCCAGACCGCCAGCUAAGGUCCCAAAGUCAUGGUUAAGUGGGAAACGAUGUGGGAAGGCCCAGACAGCCAGGAUGUUGGCUUAGAAGCAGCCAUCAUUUAAAGAAAGCGUAAUAGCUCACUGGUCGAGUCGGCCUGCGCGGAAGAUGUAACGGGGCUAAACCAUGCACCGAAGCUGCGGCAGCGACACUGUGUGUUGUUGGGUAGGGGAGCGUUCUGUAAGCCUGCGAAGGUGGCCUGUGAGGGUUGCUGGAGGUAUCAGAAGUGCGAAUGCUGACAUAAGUAACGAUAAAGCGGGUGAAAAGCCCGCUCGCCGGAAGACCAAGGGUUCCUGUCCAACGUUAAUCGGGGCAGGGUGAGUCGACCCCUAAGGCGAGGCCGAAAGGCGUAGUCGAUGGGAAACGGGUUAAUAUUCCCGUACUUGGUGUUACUGCGAAGGGGGGACGGAGAAGGCUAUGUUGGCCGGGCGACGGUUGUCCCGGUUUAAGCGUGUAGGUGUGUGUUCCAGGUAAAUCCGGUUCACUUUAACACUGAGGCGUGACGACGAGGCACUACGGUGCUGAAGCAACAAAUGCCCUGCUUCCAGGAAAAGCCUCUAAGCAUCAGGUAACAUCAAAUCGUACCCCAAACCGACACAGGUGGUCAGGUAGAGAAUACCAAGGCGCUUGAGAGAACUCGGGUGAAGGAACUAGGCAAAAUGGUGCCGUAACUUCGGGAGAAGGCACGCUGACACGUAGGUGAAGUGAUUUACUCAUGGAGCUGAAGUCAGUCGAAGAUACCAGCUGGCUGCAACUGUUUAUUAAAAACACAGCACUGUGCAAACACGAAAGUGGACGUAUACGGUGUGACGCCUGCCCGGUGCCGGAAGGUUAAUUGAUGGGGUCAGCGCAAGCGAAGCUCCUGAUCGAAGCCCCGGUAAACGGCGGCCGUAACUAUAACGGUCCUAAGGUAGCGAAAUUCCUUGUCGGGUAAGUUCCGACCUGCACGAAUGGCGUAAUGAUGGCCAGGCUGUCUCCACCCGAGACUCAGUGAAAUUGAACUCGCUGUGAAGAUGCAGUGUACCCGCGGCAAGACGGAAAGACCCCGUGAACCUUUACUAUAGCUUGACACUGAACAUUGAGCCUUGAUGUGUAGGAUAGGUGGGAGGCUUUGAAGUGUGGACGCCAGUCUGCAUGGAGCCGACCUUGAAAUACCACCCUUUAAUGUUUGAUGUUCUAACGUGGACCCGUUACCCGGGUUGCGGACAGUGUCUGGUGGGUAGUUUGACUGGGGCGGUCUCCUCCUAAAGAGUAACGGAGGAGCACGAAGGUUGGCUAAUCCUGGUCGGACAUCAGGAGGUUAGUGCAAUGGCAUAAGCCAGCUUGACUGCGAGCGUGACGGCGCGAGCAGGUGCGAAAGCAGGUCAUAGUGAUCCGGUGGUUCUGAAUGGAAGGGCCAUCGCUCAACGGAUAAAAGGUACUCCGGGGAUAACAGGCUGAUACCGCCCAAGAGUUCAUAUCGACGGCGGUGUUUGGCACCUCGAUGUCGGCUCAUCACAUCCUGGGGCUGAAGUAGGUCCCAAGGGUAUGGCUGUUCGCCAUUUAAAGUGGUACGCGAGCUGGGUUUAGAACGUCGUGAGACAGUUCGGUCCCUAUCUGCCGUGGGCGCUGGAGAACUGAGGGGGGCUGCUCCUAGUACGAGAGGACCGGAGUGGACGCAUCACUGGUGUUCGGGUUGUCAUGCCAAUGGCACUGCCCGGUAGCUAAAUGCGGAAGAGAUAAGUGCUGAAAGCAUCUAAGCACGAAACUUGCCCCGAGAUGAGUUCUCCCUGAGAC
RNAcentral lists this ribosomal RNA (2244 nucleotides) under Salmonella enterica subsp. enterica serovar Enteritidis str. SE8a. RNAcentral describes it as "bacterial LSU rRNA". It matches the Rfam family "Bacterial large subunit ribosomal RNA", at positions 593 to 2821 of the family's 2925-position model. Lineage: Bacteria; Pseudomonadati; Pseudomonadota; Gammaproteobacteria; Enterobacterales; Enterobacteriaceae. The record is from RNAcentral.